CGUGUUGCGGGCAUCGUAUAAUGGCUAUUACCUCAGCCUUCCAAGCUGAUGAUGCGGGUUCGAUUCCCGCUGCCC
RNAcentral lists this transfer RNA (75 nucleotides) under Vibrio cholerae O395. Its description in RNAcentral is "tRNA-Gly". It matches the Rfam family "tRNA". From Rfam's summary of the family: Transfer RNA (tRNA) molecules are approximately 80 nucleotides in length. Their secondary structure includes four short double-helical elements and three loops (D, anti-codon, and T loops). Further hydrogen bonds mediate the characteristic L-shaped molecular structure. tRNAs have two regions of fundamental functional importance: the anti-codon, which is responsible for specific mRNA codon recognition, and the 3' end, to which the tRNAs corresponding amino acid is attached (by aminoacyl-tRNA synthetases). tRNAs cope with the degeneracy of the genetic code in two manners: having more than one tRNA (with a specific anti-codon) for a particular amino acid; and 'wobble' base-pairing, i.e. permitting non-standard base-pairing at the 3rd anti-codon position. Lineage: Bacteria; Pseudomonadati; Pseudomonadota; Gammaproteobacteria; Vibrionales; Vibrionaceae. The record is from RNAcentral.